Molecule: transfer RNA, 73 nt
Filed under: Acidithiobacillus sp. MC6.1
Lineage: Bacteria; Pseudomonadati; Pseudomonadota; Acidithiobacillia; Acidithiobacillales; Acidithiobacillaceae
Description: tRNA-Asp
Rfam family: tRNA
About the family: Transfer RNA (tRNA) molecules are approximately 80 nucleotides in length. Their secondary structure includes four short double-helical elements and three loops (D, anti-codon, and T loops).
Source: RNAcentral
GGGUUAUUAUCCUAAUCGGUAAGGAACUUUCUUGUCAUGGAAGUAUAUGUGGGUUCGAGUCCCACAUAACCCG